UCACUGGGAUCCAAACGAGUCUCUUGGG
This 28-nucleotide non-coding RNA is filed under the name Mus musculus (house mouse). Lineage: Eukaryota; Metazoa; Chordata; Mammalia; Rodentia; Muridae. The record is from RNAcentral.